GACGAACGCUGGCGGCGUGCUUAACACAUGCAAGUCGAACGGAAAGGCCCUGCUUUUGUGGGGUGCUCGAGUGGCGAGCGGGUGAGUAACACGUGAGUAACCUGCCCUUGACUUUGGGAUAACUUCAGGAAACUGGGGCUAAUACCGGAUAGGAGCUCCUGCUGCAUGGUGGGGGUUGGAAAGUUUCGGCGAUUGGGGAUGGACUCGCGGCUUAUCAGCUUGUUGGUGGGGUAGUGGCUUACCAAGGCUUUGACGGGUAGCCGGCCUGGGAGGGUGACCGGCCACAUUGGGACUGAGAUACGGCCCAGACUCCUACGGGAGGCAGCAGUGGGGAAUAUUGCACAAUGGGCGGAAGCCUGAUGCAGCAACGCCGCGUGCGGGAUGACGGCCUUCGGGUUGUAAACCGCUUUCGCCUGUGACGAAGCGUGAGUGACGGUAAUGGGUAAAGAAGCACCGGCUAACUACGUG
RNAcentral lists this ribosomal RNA (468 nucleotides) under uncultured bacterium. Its description in RNAcentral is "partial 16S ribosomal RNA". It matches the Rfam family "Bacterial small subunit ribosomal RNA", at positions 28 to 507 of the family's 1533-position model. The record is from RNAcentral.